GCCUUUGUGGUGUAAGGGCCAGCACACUCGACGCGUAUUCGAGAGGUCCGAGGUUAGAGUCCCGGCGAGGGCA
Stegodyphus mimosarum is the source of this 73-nucleotide non-coding RNA. The record is from Rfam. NCBI's taxonomy places the organism in Eukaryota, Metazoa, Arthropoda, Arachnida, Araneae, Eresidae.